Molecule: ribosomal RNA, 448 nt
Filed under: Delftia sp. RZ4MS6
Lineage: Bacteria; Pseudomonadati; Pseudomonadota; Betaproteobacteria; Burkholderiales; Comamonadaceae
Description: bacterial SSU rRNA
Rfam family: Bacterial small subunit ribosomal RNA
Source: RNAcentral
ACGCUGACGAGUGGCGAACGGGUGAGUAAUACAUCGGAACGUGCCCAGUCGUGGGGGAUAACUACUCGAAAGAGUAGCUAAUACCGCAUACGAUCUGAGGAUGAAAGCGGGGGACCUUCGGGCCUCGCGCGAUUGGAGCGGCCGAUGGCAGAUUAGGUAGUUGGUGGGAUAAAAGCUUACCAAGCCGACGAUCUGUAGCUGGUCUGAGAGGACGACCAGCCACACUGGGACUGAGACACGGCCCAGACUCCUACGGGAGGCAGCAGUGGGGAAUUUUGGACAAUGGGCGAAAGCCUGAUCCAGCAAUGCCGCGUGCAGGAUGAAGGCCUUCGGGUUGUAAACUGCUUUUGUACGGAACGAAAAAGCUUCUCCUAAUACGAGAGGCCCAUGACGGUWCCGUAAGAAUAAGCACCGGCUAACUACGUGCCAGCAGCCGCGGUAAUACGUA